AUCCAGCUGACGAGUCCUAAAUAGGAUAAAAUGCGCGUCCUGGAU
Molecule: non-coding RNA, 45 nt
Organism: Schistosoma haematobium
Lineage: Eukaryota; Metazoa; Platyhelminthes; Trematoda; Strigeidida; Schistosomatidae
Source: Rfam